GAGGGAGGCGGAGGGGGGCCGUGGCGCGCUUGGGGAAGCGGCUGGGAGCGGAGUUGGGGGAGCGGGAGCUCCGCUGCCGUCGGGGGCGACUCCUCGUUACAUCCCGGUAGUUUGGUGUCCGCUGUACUCUGAACAGCAACUCCCGGUACCGAUUGUCUGCCUCGGCAAAACACGCUGGUUCCCCCGUUCGACCCUGCCGUGGAGCAUGGGAAAAGGCAGCUACCGGCCUACCAGGAGAAUGUAAGAUCCUGGGGUUUUUUUCUGGAGGACCUUGGCGAGGUCUUGGGAGGGCUGGAGUGAGACAUCACAGAUGGAGACUGGAUGAGACUCGCUCGCUACGCAGUGGGGGAGCAAAUAACUUAAUGUUUGCCUCCGUGUUUGUCCUUCUGUCUGAUCCCGGUGUUCCUCAAAGCUUCAGACACCAGCCAGGCCUCGUGUCUGUGUUCCAGUUGCCAACUGCAUUAGCAGCGGCUGCUCCUAAGUCCCAAUGACACUUUAUUAAUUUGAGACUUCCACAAAGCGUUUGCUUUUAGCAAUAAAGACUUAGCACUGCAGAUUGAGAAUUA
Long non-coding RNA from Harpia harpyja (harpy eagle), 566 nucleotides. RefSeq lists it as uncharacterized. The transcript is spliced from 2 exons. NCBI's taxonomy places the organism in Eukaryota, Metazoa, Chordata, Aves, Accipitriformes, Accipitridae. The record is from RefSeq and is a predicted model, not a curated record.